Molecule: ribosomal RNA, 252 nt
Filed under: uncultured bacterium
Lineage: Bacteria
Description: partial 16S ribosomal RNA
Rfam family: Bacterial small subunit ribosomal RNA
Source: RNAcentral
UACAGAGGUCUCAAGCGUUGUUCGGAAUUACUGGGCGUAAAGGCUCGUAGGCGGCCAACUAAGUCAUACGUGAAAUCCCUCGGCUUAACCGGGGAACUGCGUCUGAUACUGGAUGGCUUGAAUCCGGGAGAGGGAUGCAGAAUUCCAGGUGUAGCGGUGAAAUGCGUAGAUAUCUGGAGGAAUACCGGUGGCGAAGGCGGCAUCCUGGACCGGCAUUGACGCUGAGGAGCGAAAGCUAGGGGAGCAAACGGG